ACGACUCCGCAGUCAUGCGCUCAGGGAACGCGCGUCGGUCAAAACACAGCAAAGCACUUAUAUUUGAAAGCUUGUGUAAACAGCACCUAAAGCGAUGAAAUGACGCGUGAACUCCCUCAGGAUCAGGUGGAGGUAAACAUAGCCUACAGGAAUGGAGCCAUGACCACCGCUCAUCCAGCUACUGUAUAGGCCUGCUGAAAAACAUCAACACAUGUCACAGUUGAGCGGCUGUGUAACUCAAAACUACAUUCUGACAGAUCAUUUUUUCCUGUGCGCAGAGGAUGAGUCGGCUAUCGAACAGACCUGCGUCAUCGGAGAGACUCUAAUUCUGUACGACCCAGAGCCGCGGGGACUUACAGAGAGCUGAGAGAUGACAGAUCUCAAUGCUUCAGGUUGGUCUGCUCAGCUCUGUCUUGGUUACCUUGAGCAGUUUUUUACAGUUAUAAUUUUUGGUAACUGCUGAUUUUCCAGUCUGCCAGUCGAAUGAGGAUCUACUGUAGAGGACAUUUCUGUUACUCAUAGGCUGCCCGUUUAUAGCUCAGGAAACCUAAUGGACUUCUUACCUAUGAGUUUAAUAUCUGUAUGUUCUUUGACUUUUAAAAUUACUUAAUAAUAAAUAGACACAAAUAAGUAAGGCAAUUGAUUACAUAGGGUACACUGACUCAUGAUGUCAUAGAAGAACCAUUUUUGGUUGUGUGGUCCCUAAAGCAGGAGUUUUCAAACCUUACGAUGCCAAAGACCCCCAGAUACGAUGGACUGUCCUUUUGUAAGGGACCCCCUUCCUAAAAUAUGUAACAAUUGACAUAUUUUAUAACGAAAAUAUUAUUGGGUAAACUUAUAGUAAAGCUGGAUGUA
This is a non-coding RNA of Paramisgurnus dabryanus, 855 nucleotides long. The record is from RefSeq and is a predicted model, not a curated record. Lineage: Eukaryota; Metazoa; Chordata; Actinopteri; Cypriniformes; Cobitidae.